RNAcentral lists this non-coding RNA (25 nucleotides) under Cricetulus griseus (Chinese hamster). Lineage: Eukaryota; Metazoa; Chordata; Mammalia; Rodentia; Cricetidae. The record is from RNAcentral.
CACCGUAAUUGUAACUGAGGCAUAC